RNAcentral lists this long non-coding RNA (807 nucleotides) under Oryctolagus cuniculus (rabbit). RNAcentral describes it as "lncRNA (ENSOCUG00000036635.1)". Lineage: Eukaryota; Metazoa; Chordata; Mammalia; Lagomorpha; Leporidae. The record is from RNAcentral.
AUGGCUGGCACAGGACCCCCGGGGCACGGCAGGUGCCCGUUGCCCGCUCCGCCAGCGGCUGCAUUCCCCAAAAGCACACCAUCCCAUCGUGUCUGCUGCCUCCUGACCCCCGGCCCUUAUCUCAUCCCACAUCACCUUCCUGCGUUUCCUGGCCUCUCCCUGCCCCGGGCCAUCCCUGGGUCUCCGGAGCGAGCCGUGGCCACGCCCGAGCUGGCGCGGGUUACCAGCAGCCGCGGGGCUGGGACCGCUCGCCGCCGGGCCCGGGCUUCGCGCUCGUCCUGGCCGCUGGGGCCUCGGAGAGCGGCGGCAGGAGCGAGGCAUCACCCGAGCGCUGACAGGCGCCUCUCCGCCUUCCCCGCCCGGCGCAUUCGCCUUGCCACGUGCAGAACCCGGCAGGCGCGGACCGCCAGCGCCCUCGCGGUUGCCGUGGCUACGCACGAGCGGCCGCAGCUGACCCAGGCGGGGCCUCCCUCCGCCGCCUCCGCCUCGGGCUCCGUCCCCGCUCGGUUAGGGAACCCCAAGCCCCCGGCCCCUACAAGCUGUGCACACCUGCAGCAGACCCGUUUCUGCAAAGCUUCUGAAGAAAAGAAAACAACUUCAAAGCGCUUGGAAAAGUUGUUGAAUAGGAAAGCUGGCUGUCCUGGAAAUCCCGGCUACUGCUCUGUAACACAAGGCACCUCACCUGUCUCUGCUCAGGCACACAGGGCUCUUUACCAGAAUAUAUGCCUAUGGAGUGACAAGUCGAUUCUCCUUUCCUCCCAAGAGCACCCCCCUUGGCCAAGUACACACAAAAAGGACCUCUAUUAA